ACAAUACCAGUCACCGAAACGUGGUAAGGAUAUUGAUCUCUGCCAUUUAUGUGAUAUAAGUUCUUAACUACCAUAACAGCAGUAACAAAGUCUGAUUCUGCCAAUCAUCUCUUCUGUGCAUUUCUUCUGACAAUCAUUGUUUCAGCAAUUGAAUCUAAUUUGUUAUUCAAUUACACCUCUAUGAUUAUAUCUGAAUGUACUAAAACGCAGAGCAAUGUUUUGCUUCCUGUAACUUAAAAGCUGGGAAGUGAAACUUAUCAACUCCAAAAAUAAAUUGAAUGUGAUCACCUACUUUGAUGAAGUUGAAAUUAAUAGGUGUUAGGUAACUUGGUUUCUGUUGAUUAGAUAAUUAAUAUCAAGUUAACGUCAAAAUUCAAAAUUUUAAAGUUGGGAACCAGCGUUUAUCUUUGGAUCUCUCCAUUGAUUGAUUUUCAACUAACCUCAUAUUCUUACAGUGCCUUUUGUCUUAUAAAUGAUGCAGAAUUGUGGUUAAGUUUCUGGUCUG
This 505-nucleotide unclassified non-coding RNA is filed under the name Hevea brasiliensis (rubber tree). The record is from RNAcentral. Lineage: Eukaryota; Viridiplantae; Streptophyta; Magnoliopsida; Malpighiales; Euphorbiaceae.